This is a long non-coding RNA of Pan troglodytes (chimpanzee), 1230 nucleotides long. NCBI's taxonomy places the organism in Eukaryota, Metazoa, Chordata, Mammalia, Primates, Hominidae. The record is from Ensembl.
UAUAAACAAAAGACAUUCUUCUCAGAGAUGGCCUUAUUAAUCAGUUUAUUAUUCAAUGGGUCAGAAUUUGCAUUUUGGUGAGUAGUAUCGUUUUUUUCUCUUCAUGUUGCCGAAGUUGUAGUCACAUUACAAGAGAGCUCUAAAUUAACAGCACAGAUAUGCAGUUUCUUCAAGAGUAGUUAACUUUAUUUCAAAUGAAUUCUGCUUCCUCUGCCUGGCAUUUCUUUACCCGUUAUCUCCAAAUGUCCAAAUUCAACCUAUCACUUAAGACCUAUUUCAAAUGCUGUCUGCCCAUCACCUCCUUUGAAGCUUCUCUUCCCUCUUUCAACUGCCAUAGGGACAAUUUUUUCUAUAUCUCUCCUACAGAACAUAUCACUUUCUACCAUGCGUGCUGUUACUUAGUUGUGUGACUUACGUUGUCUACCAAAGUGAAAGCUUCUGAAGAUACCAUCACAGAGACCAGUACAGGGCCUCGCCCAACAUGGUCUCAGUAAAUAUCUCAAGAAUAAAUAAAGAGUGGGAAGAUGACACAGAGCGAGUCUGUUGAUAUCUACAAAAUAUGUUAUUUAACCUGGCAAUUCUCUAAUACCAACUUUUCUCCUGGGCUGGACACCAGCCUUUCCAAAUGGCUGAUUGAACUCUUCCCAUGAAUGAGCUGCCAGCGCCGUAUGGAAAAUGUUAUCUGUAGAAGGAACAAAAGUCAAACAUAUGAUGUGUCAACGAAUGACUUUCACUUUGAUUUUGAAAACACCACCAAGAGUUUGGAAUGGAAAGAUGCCGUGAAAGCAGCAUACAAGCCGGAGAGCCUACUGGAAGCAAGAGGGGAAAACCCAGCCGGGUAUGGGGGCUGCGGGGAGGAUGCCAGGUGGCGGAGACUGGAUUCAGGAUUUGAUGCUUGAACUGAACCUUCUUUUAAGAGAAACACAGCUGCACGGCACUGACAGAGAACUCGCAGAGUAAAAAGGAACCCACAAUAAACGAGCUGCUUUGCGCCAUGUUCACAAUUUCCUUGCAGGGUGGGGGCAGAGAUGGUGCGAGUAAACUGACCCAUUUGGAAGCCCACUUGGAAACUGGGUUCCUUUUUUAAAAAAAUAAAUUUAUUUCCAUAGGUUUUUGGGGAACAGGUGGUAUUCGGUUACAUGAGUAAGUUCUUCAGUUGUAAUUUGUGAGAUUUUGUGCACCCAUCACCCAAGAAGUAUACACUGAACUCAGUGUGUAGUUUUUUAUCCC